This is a long non-coding RNA of Gavialis gangeticus (Gharial), 1771 nucleotides long. RefSeq lists it as uncharacterized. The transcript is spliced from 2 exons. Lineage: Eukaryota; Metazoa; Chordata; Crocodylia; Gavialidae. The record is from RefSeq and is a predicted model, not a curated record.
CUAUUAGCAGUCCUUCCAAGACUUCCUGGGAUUGUUAGUUUUUUCCACUCUGGCCAACUAGCAUUGAGUCCCUGGUUUACAUAUAUUCUUGUUUAUACCUCAAAUUCAAGUACUGUAGAGAGUGAAUCCUUUGGGACAGGUCCCAAGUUUGGGACAAGAGAUGGGGUAGAGAAACCCUGUGCUUGAGAGCUUAGUCCUACAUGCUGAUGUUGUGGGUUCUCAAGCCAUCUGGGGAAUUUCAGUCCAUUUCUGGCCAGGCCCAGCAUGUUAGAUAUGGAUGAUCAAAGCCUGCUGUUUGGGUGCUGGCUUUCUUUCUCUCUCUAUUUCUGUCCCUCACAUACACAUAUGCACCCAUCCAUCCACCCCUUAGCUCCAUUAGGGUUCGAAAUUCAACUAUCUGAAUGCUCUUCUCCUUAGAGUCUCGAAGUCCAUUGUUGCAACUUCCAAGGACAUUUCUCCAAGUCCCACUACUUCAAGUUGGCAUGGGGUUAGACACCAAAUAUGAAUUAACUGGCCUUUAUUCAGUACCAGCUUGCUGGUCAAUCCAACUGACAGAGAGGACAAGUGGGAAGGUAUGCACAAUCCAGAGAUGACAUGAGACCAUGCAUCUUUAGACAUACAUUAGUCUUUGAACCAUCCAAUCAUAGGCUAAAGCAUGGACACACACACAGAUAGAUGUUACUCCUGUCUCUUGUACAUCCAUGCCUGACCUUUUUUUGACUUAUUCUCUACAAUUCUUGAUCAUCUUUUCAACUUCCAGGUCACUCAGGAAGCUACACCGUUAGUGUAGGCUGAAAUGAUAGGGAGACUUCCUUCCACCGCACAGUACAUGGACGUGUAUUAAACCUGCGUUCAACAUAAACAGGUUCUUUUGCUCAUGCCUUGUACGCACAUUAAUAUCUGUAGAUACGUGUAAGUAUAUUAAUUUUAUGAUGCAUGUUGGUGUUUAUAGUGUGGACCAACAGGAACUAUGUUGUUUCUCUUCACACCUCAGGGUACCCGAGAAAAGGCUGAGUUAAUGCUACCAUACUGUACAGGAGCAACUAGAUUAUUCUGCGGCUUUGUUACAUUUCUUAACUUCCUCGGGUUGUUUUCCCCUUCCCUUUGUCUGUUGCUUGUCACCAAUGAAGCCCACGCAGAUCUGAAAAGCUGCAGAACAGCACCGUCUGCAUAUUCCUUUCACUGUUUCUCAUCUGAAAACACUACCUCCUGGCACCUGGAAAACCAUCACAGAUGCAGAACAGGUGAUCUUUACAGAAUGCUAUUCAAAGGGAACACUUUGCCAGCCCUACAGACAACAAAACACACUGCUGACUCCAGCUGGAGCGAGAGAUUACUUUGAUAACAAAUUAAAAUGGGCUCAGAAAUUGGAAAUGAAGAAGCGAUGCAAGGAGGAAUAAACUACGCUGAUGGCCCCUCUUUUGUCAAGGUGCUGAAGAAUGUCCUUACCUCUAACCUUGACUCCAAGGAGACCGUUGCUGUGCUGAAAGUUAAGCACCUUCUUAAAACGCUUUGCUGAAUCAGGGCCUGAAUUUGGCAAGAGAAAGCAUCAUCUUAAUGUCUCUUUUUGCCUUUGGCGCUAUCUGCACCCUGCCGGAUUUUCCUAAUCUUCUCCUUGCCUCAUAACAGGCACUGUUAGAGAUCAUCAAAGAGAUUAACUCGCAACUGAAGGACACAUGGUAAUGAAAUCAGAUGUAUCUAUCGAUGCUAAAAUGGUUAAACUUGGAAACUUUCCCUGAAUAAUGAGAAUUAAUACAAUCAUUUUAAUGGA